UACGAGGGGGGCAAGCGUUGUUCGGAAUUAUUGGGCGUAAAGGGCUCGUAGGCGGCCAACUAAGUCGGACGUGAAAUCCCCAGGCUCAACCUGGGAACUGCGUCUGAUACUGGAUGGCUUGAAUCCGGGAGAGGGAUGCAGAAUUCCAGGUGUAGCGGUGAAAUGCGUAGAUAUCUGGAGGAAUACCGGUGGCGAAGGCGGCAUCCUGGACCGGCAUUGACGCUGAGGAGCGAAAGCCAGGGGAGCAAACGGG
Molecule: ribosomal RNA, 253 nt
Filed under: uncultured bacterium
Lineage: Bacteria
Description: partial 16S ribosomal RNA
Rfam family: Bacterial small subunit ribosomal RNA
Source: RNAcentral